GACGAACGCUGGCGGCGUGCUUAACACAUGCAAGUCGAACGGAAAGGCCCCCAUCUUGGUGGGGGUGCUCGAGUGGCGAACGGGUGAGUAACACGUGGGUGAUCUGCCCUGUACUUCGGGAUAAGCUUGGGAAACUGGGUCUAAUACCGGAUAGGACCAUGGUUUAGUGUCUCAUGGUGGAAAGAUUAUUGUUUUGGUGCAGGAUGAGCUCGCGGCCUAUCAGCUUGUUGGUGGGGUAAUGGCCUACCAAGGCGUCGACGGGUAGCCGGCCUGAGAGGGUGGCCGGGCAAAUGGGGACUGAGAUACGGCCCAGACUCCUACGGGGGGCAGCAGUGGGGAAUAUUGCACAAUGGGCGAAAGCCUGAUGCAGCGACGCCGCGUGGGGGAUGACGGCCUUGGGGUUUUAAACUCCUUUCUUUGGGGACGAAGCCACGCUUUUUGGGGGGGGUGACGGUACCUUUUUUAAGAAGCACCGGCUAACUACGU
RNAcentral lists this ribosomal RNA (486 nucleotides) under uncultured bacterium. RNAcentral's name for it is "partial 16S ribosomal RNA". It matches the Rfam family "Bacterial small subunit ribosomal RNA", at positions 28 to 506 of the family's 1533-position model. The record is from RNAcentral.